UGACCGCAACGCCGCGUGAGGGAUGACGGCCUUCGGGUUGUAAACCUCUUUCAGUACCGACGAAGCGCAAGUGACGGUAGGUACAGAAGAAGCACCGGCCAACUACGUGCCAGCAGCCGCGGUAAUACGUAGGGUGCGAGCGUUGUCCGGAAUUAUUGGGCGUAAAGGGCUCGUAGGCGGUUUGUCGCGUCAGGAGUGAAAACUCGGGGCUUAACUCCGAGCCUGCUUCUGAUACGGGCAGACUAGAGGUAUGCAGGGGAGAACGGAAUUCCUGGUGUAGCGGUGAAAUGCGCAGAUAUCAGGAGGAACACCGGUGGCGAAGGCGGUUCUCUGGGCAUUACCUGACGCUGAGGAGCGAAAGUGUGGGGAGCGAACAGGAUUAGAUACCCUGGUAGUCCACACCGUAAACGUUGGGCGCUAGGUGUGGGACUCAUUCCACGAGUUCCGUGCCGCAGCUAACGCAUUAAGCGCCCCGCCUGGGGAGUACGGCCGCAAGGCUAAAACUCAAAGGAAUUGACGGA
Molecule: ribosomal RNA, 521 nt
Filed under: uncultured bacterium
Lineage: Bacteria
Description: bacterial SSU rRNA
Rfam family: Bacterial small subunit ribosomal RNA
Source: RNAcentral